GGUGCUUGCACCUGAUUGAUUUUGGUCGCCAACGAGUGGCGGACGGGUGAGUAACACGUAGGUAACCUGCCCAGAAGCGGGGGACAACAUUUGGAAACAGAUGCUAAUACCGCAUAACAACGUUGUUCGCAUGAACAACGCUUAAAAGAUGGCUUCUCGCUAUCACUUCUGGAUGGACCUGCGGUGCAUUAGCUUGUUGGUGGGGUAACGGCCUACCAAGGCGAUGAUGCAUAGCCGAGUUGAGAGACUGAUCGGCCACAAUGGGACUGAGACACGGCCCAUACUCCUACGGGAGGCAGCAGUAGGGAAUCUUCCACAAUGGGCGCAAGCCUGAUGGAGCAACACCGCGUGAGUGAAGAAGGGUUUCGGCUCGUAAAGCUCUGUUGUUAAAGAAGAACACGUAUGAGAGUAACUGUUCAUACGUUGACGGUAUUUAACCAGAAAGUCACGGCUAACUACGUGCCAGCAGCCGCGGUAAUACGUAGGUGGCAAGCGUUAUCCGGAUUUAUUGGGCGUAAAGAGAGUGCAGGCGGUUUUCUAAGUCUGAUGUGAAAGCCUUCGGCUUAACCGGAGAAGUGCAUCGGAAACUGGAUAACUUGAGUGCAGAAGAGGGUAGUGGAACUCCAUGUGUAGCGGUGGAAUGCGUAGAUAUAUGGAAGAACACCAGUGGCGAAGGCGGCUACCUGGUCUGCAACUGACGCUGAGACUCGAAAGCAUGGGUAGCGAACAGGAUUAGAUACCCUGGUAGUC
Molecule: ribosomal RNA, 750 nt
Filed under: Limosilactobacillus fermentum
Lineage: Bacteria; Bacillati; Bacillota; Bacilli; Lactobacillales; Lactobacillaceae
Description: bacterial SSU rRNA
Rfam family: Bacterial small subunit ribosomal RNA
Source: RNAcentral